AAAUUGAAGAGUUUGAUCAUGGCUCAGAUUGAACGCUGGCGGCAGGCCUAACACAUGCAAGUCGAACGGUAACAGAAAGAAGCUUGCUUCUUUGCUGACGAGUGGCGGACGGGUGAGUAAUGU
This 123-nucleotide ribosomal RNA is filed under the name Escherichia coli. RNAcentral's name for it is "partial 16S ribosomal RNA". It matches the Rfam family "Bacterial small subunit ribosomal RNA", at positions 1 to 116 of the family's 1533-position model. Lineage: Bacteria; Pseudomonadati; Pseudomonadota; Gammaproteobacteria; Enterobacterales; Enterobacteriaceae. The record is from RNAcentral.